Molecule: ribosomal RNA, 448 nt
Filed under: uncultured bacterium
Lineage: Bacteria
Description: bacterial SSU rRNA
Rfam family: Bacterial small subunit ribosomal RNA
Source: RNAcentral
GUCCCAGACUCCUACGGGAGGCAGCAGUGGGGAAUAUUGCACAAUGGGGGAAACCCUGAUGCAGCGACGCCGCGUGAGCGAUGAAGUCUUUCGGUAUGUAAAGCUCUAUCAGCAGGGAAGAAGAUGACGGUACCUGACUAAGAAGCCCCGGCUAACUACGUGCCAGCAGCCGCGGUAAUACGUAGGGGGCAAGCGUUAUCCGGAUUUACUGGGUGUAAAGGGAGCGUAGACGGCGAUGCAAGCCAGAUGUGAAAGCCCGGGGCUCAACCCCGGGACUGCAUUUGGAACUGUGUGGCUGGAGUGUCGGAGAGGCAGGCGGAAUUCCUAGUGUAGCGGUGAAAUGCGUAGAUAUUAGGAGGAACACCGGUGGCGAAGGCGGCUUACUGGACUGUAACUGACGUUGAGGCUCGAAAGCGUGGGGAGCAAACAGGAUUAGAUACCCCUGUAU